CAAUUACUAUAACAAACUUAAAUUUUUUUGUAUUUCUCUCAAAAAUUAGAGGAGAUCAAGCAGAUAAACCAUGGCUUCUGUUAAACAUGUUCUGAAAUUCAGUACAGUUGUGAACUACUUUUCUGGAGCUGACAAUACGAAACUUAUUUCCACAGUAGAAAAUGCAGUGGAAUCAAACUAAAUGAAAAAAUUAUAUUCAGUUAUAACGCAGGAAAAUCGGUAAAAAUCUUUUGACUCCUCAGAAGGUGGAUCAAUAUGUAAAAGAUUAAAAACAGAGAACCUAGUAUCUCUUGGCUACAUAUUCAACUCAUUAGAUCAUCUAUAACCAUGUGUGAAGAGGAUUCAUCUAAUAAAAGUG
Sitophilus oryzae (rice weevil) is the source of this 358-nucleotide long non-coding RNA. RefSeq lists it as uncharacterized. NCBI's taxonomy places the organism in Eukaryota, Metazoa, Arthropoda, Insecta, Coleoptera, Curculionidae. The record is from RefSeq and is a predicted model, not a curated record. The transcript has 3 exons.